GAAAAGGUCCUUAUAAGGUAACAAACACAGGAACACACACACACAAUCUGUUCCUCUCCCCGGAUGGAAAACAUGUGGGUUAUGCGGCGCCACAUUCCAGAGCUGAAACUGGCCGCUGAUGCUGAUCAUGUGACCAGAACAGCCGACCUCAGCAAAGAGACCAGCUGCAGUUUAUGCAUCUGUUUAUGACUGUUUGUGUGUUUACGUUUGUUUGUGUUUACGUCUGCUUGCAUGAGUUUGUGUUAGGGUUAGGUUUGUGUGUUAAUGUGUGUUUGCCCGAAUCUUCAGUUUUGAAAUAGAAAGUGUUCUGUGGAAUCAGCCGACCGCCCUCCUUAGGCCCCGCCCCCUUGCUAGAUUCCAUCUGACUUCAGUUUGAGGUUUCUGAUGGAAUACCGGGAUGGAUCCUGGCGUUCCUGACGGGAAUCGGAGCUCAGCGUCACACCUUUAAACUCAGCAGGAGCUCUUAAUCCUGAAAUGUUCUGAUGUUCUGAACAGACACAGGAAAGUCCAAAACCAAGAUUAUGAUCAGCUGGAUGCAACAGCUGAUUUUCACAUCAUCAGAGAUUUUGGAUCUAACUGAUCAUCACACCUUCUUCUUUGGAUGGGUCAGGGGGGUUCUGGACCUACCAGCUGCCUCCUCAGCACCAGGAUGUUCUCCUCCGGACUCAGACGAGCCUCCCGAUCCUCGGGCUUCUCCAGCGCGGUCCGGAUGAGCACCUGCUGCCGCUGUCGCAGGUUCUCCAGCUCGCUGAGUCCAAACAUGACCGCGUCCAGCCGCUCCCGCACGGAGCGCAGCCGCUCCGCCGCGUCCGCCGCGUCCGCGCGCUCCCGCCUGCAGGCGCUGCUCAGCGGCAUCUCCUCUGCGGCGGCCGGGGCUCUCUGCGGCAUCAGGCUCCGGAGGACCCAGAGGGCAUCACGCACAGGCACCCGCUGACCUGCGGGAGGGAAGGGCGGGCGGGGGGCACCCCGAAACUGCGGUGAAUCAGAGGGAGGUUCGGGUCCACAUGGAGGUGUGGAACCGGACCUGUCAGCGCAGCAGUUCCGGCAGAGUCCUCCAGAAACCUGCAGCUGCUGCUGGAGCUCCACAGACACUGAGCCGGAUCCGCUGGUGGCAUCCAAACCCCGCCCCUCGAGACCACACCCCUUCAUCCAGACAGUAUCACCGCCCAGAGUGACGUCAGCUCGAAAUGAAUUAUUUUUGUUGACUCUUUCAAAAUAAAUUUUUUUUUUUUCCUAAA
Oryzias melastigma (Indian medaka) is the source of this 1238-nucleotide long non-coding RNA. RefSeq lists it as uncharacterized. NCBI's taxonomy places the organism in Eukaryota, Metazoa, Chordata, Actinopteri, Beloniformes, Adrianichthyidae. The record is from RefSeq and is a predicted model, not a curated record. The transcript has 5 exons.